RNAcentral lists this ribosomal RNA (443 nucleotides) under uncultured bacterium. Its description in RNAcentral is "partial 16S ribosomal RNA". It matches the Rfam family "Bacterial small subunit ribosomal RNA", at positions 338 to 795 of the family's 1533-position model. The record is from RNAcentral.
CCUACGGGAGGCAGCAGUGGGGAAUAUUGGGCAAUGGAGGAAACUCUGACCCAGCAACGCCGCGUGAAUGAUGCAGGUCUUCGGAUUGUACAGUUCUUUUCUAAGGGAAGAAGAAAGUGACGGUACCUUAGUAAUAAGCCUCGGCUAACUACGUGCCAGCAGCCGCGGGAAUACGUAGGAGGCAAGCGUUAUCCGGAAUGACUGGGCGUAAAGGGUGCGUAGGUGGUUUGACAAGUUAGUAGCGUAACUCCGGGGCUCAACCUCGGCACUACUACCAAAACUGUCGGACUUGAGUGCAGGAGGGGAAAAUGGAAUUCCUAGUGUAGCGGUGGAAUGCGUAGAUAUUAGGAGGAACACCAGUGGCGAAGGCGAUUUGCUGGACUGUAACUGACACUGAGGCACGAAAGCGUGGGGAGCAAACAGGAUUAGAUACCCUAGUAGUC